RNAcentral lists this ribosomal RNA (543 nucleotides) under uncultured bacterium. RNAcentral describes it as "bacterial SSU rRNA". It matches the Rfam family "Bacterial small subunit ribosomal RNA", at positions 777 to 1314 of the family's 1533-position model. The record is from RNAcentral.
AAUAGAUACCCCGGUAGUCCACGCCGUAAACGAUGAGUGCUAGGUGUUAGGGGGUUUCCGCCCCUUAGUGCUGCAGCUAACGCAUUAAGCACUCCGCCUGGGGAGUACGGUCGCAAGACUGAAACUCAAAGGAAUUGACGGGGGCCCGCACAAGCGGUGGAGCAUGUGGUUUAAUUCGAAGCAACGCGAAGAACCUUACCAGGUCUUGACAUCCCGCUGACCGCCAUGGAGACAUGGCCUUCCCUUCGGGGACAGCGGUGACAGGUGGUGCAUGGUUGUCGUCAGCUCGUGUCGUGAGAUGUUGGGUUAAGUCCCGCAACGAGCGCAACCCUUGUCCUUAGUUGCCAUCAUUCAGUUGGGUCACUCUAAGGAGACUGCCGUACAAAUACGGAGGAAGGUGGGGAGUGACGUCAAAUCAUCAUGCCCGUUACUGACCUGGGCUACACACGUGCUACAAUGGGUGGUACAAAGGGCAGCAAACCCGCGAGGGGAGCGAAUCCCAAAAACGCCACUCUCAGUUCGGAUUGCAGGCUGCGAACUCCG